This is a long non-coding RNA of Pseudopipra pipra, 696 nucleotides long. RefSeq lists it as uncharacterized. The record is from RefSeq and is a predicted model, not a curated record. The transcript has 2 exons. NCBI's taxonomy places the organism in Eukaryota, Metazoa, Chordata, Aves, Passeriformes, Pipridae.
CGCGGGCGGCCGCACUUCCCGGCGGCGGGGUGGUUCCGGCGCACGCGCCGCUCCUCCUGCUUCUCCACUGGGGGGAACCGCUCCCGACAUGGAGUCCAGGAGGGCGGGCGGGACCCGGCGGGACGCAGGAUGGGAGGGGCCCUUACCCGGGCGCGGGGUUCCCGGGGCCUGGGUGAAGCGGUUUCCCCAGAAGGUGGGGGUGUCCCCGUCCCACCGCCGGCUCCCAGCGGGGAAUUUCCCCCUCUCCCACCACGUGCUGGAGGUGCGAGAGACCCCCUGCGCCGCCCGGCCUGGCCGGCUUAGCAGGGCACCCGCCCCCCCUUGGAGUUCCUGGCGGAAAAGGAGGAGAUUGAGGGGAGACCUCAUUGCAGUUACAACUUCCUCGUGAGGGGAAGAGGAGGGGCAGGCACCGAUCUCUUCUCUGCGGUGACCAGUGACAGAACCUGAGGGAAUGGCCUGAAGUUGUGUCAGGGGAGGUUUACGUUGGAUAUCAGGAAAAGGUUUUUCACCCGGAGGGUGGGUGGGUGCUAGAACAGGCUCUCCAGGGAAGUGCUCACAGCACCAAGCUUGUCUGAGUUCAAGAAGCAUUUGAACGAUACUCUCAGGCGCAUGGUGUGACUUUUGGGGAUGGUCCUGUGAAGGGGGAGGAGUUGGACUCGAUGACCCUUGUGUGUCCUUUCCAACUUGGCAGAUUCU